This 895-nucleotide ribosomal RNA is filed under the name uncultured bacterium. RNAcentral describes it as "bacterial SSU rRNA". It matches the Rfam family "Bacterial small subunit ribosomal RNA", at positions 96 to 986 of the family's 1533-position model. The record is from RNAcentral.
CGGCGAACGGGUGAGUAACACAUCGGAACGUACCCUGUCGUGGGGGAUAACACAUCGAAAGAUGUGCUAAUACCGCAUACGACCUGAGGGUGAAAGGGGGGGAUCGCAAGACCUCUCGCGAUAGGAGCGGCCGAUGUCGGAUUAGCUAGUUGGUGGGGUAAAGGCUCACCAAGGCGACGAUCCGUAGCUGGUCUGAGAGGAUGAUCAGCCACACUGGGACUGAGACACGGCCCAGACUCCUACGGGAGGCAGCAGUGGGGAAUUUUGGACAAUGGGGGCAACCCUGAUCCAGCCAUUCCGCGUGAGUGAAGAAGGCCUUCGGGUUGUAAAGCUCUUUCGGCAGGAACGAAACGGUGCGGGUUAAUACCCUGCAUCAAUGACGGUACCUGAAGAAGAAGCACCGGCUAACUACGUGCCAGCAGCCGCGGUAAUACGUAGGGUGCGAGCGUUAAUCGGAAUUACUGGGCGUAAAGCGUGCGCAGGCGGUUUUGUAAGACAGAUGUGAAAUCCCCGGGCUUAACCUGGGAACUGCGUUUGUGACUGCAAGACUAGAGUGCGGCAGAGGGGGGUGGAAUUCCACGUGUAGCAGUGAAAUGCGUAGAGAUGUGGAGGAACACCGAUGGCGAAGGCAGCCCCCUGGGUCGACACUGACGCUCAUGCACGAAAGCGUGGGUAGCAAACAGGAUUAGAUACCCUGGUAGUCCACGCCCUAAACGAUGCGAACUAGGUGUUGGAGAAGGAGACUUCUUUAGUACCGUAGCUAACGCGUGAAGUUCGCCGCCUGGGGAGUACGGUCGCAAGAUUAAAACUCAAAGGAAUUGACGGGGACCCGCACAAGCGGUGGAUGAUGUGGAUUAAUUCGAUGCAACGCGAAAAACCUUACCUACCCUUGACA